This 74-nucleotide transfer RNA is filed under the name Streptomyces virginiae. RNAcentral describes it as "tRNA-Trp". It matches the Rfam family "tRNA". Rfam says of the family: Transfer RNA (tRNA) molecules are approximately 80 nucleotides in length. Their secondary structure includes four short double-helical elements and three loops (D, anti-codon, and T loops). The record is from RNAcentral. RNAcentral also lists the same sequence under 5 other names. Lineage: Bacteria; Bacillati; Actinomycetota; Actinomycetes; Kitasatosporales; Streptomycetaceae.
AGGGGCGUAGCUCAGAUGGCCAGAGCACCGGUCUCCAAAACCGAUGGUCGCAGGUUCGAGUCCUGCCGCCCCUG